GAGGUUGUGGCUCAGUGGUAAAGUGCUCACUUAGCACAUGUGAGGCACUGGGUUUGAUCCUCAGCACCACA
This 71-nucleotide transfer RNA is filed under the name Marmota monax (woodchuck). Its description in RNAcentral is "tRNA.Ala". Lineage: Eukaryota; Metazoa; Chordata; Mammalia; Rodentia; Sciuridae. The record is from RNAcentral.